This 20-nucleotide microRNA is filed under the name Schmidtea mediterranea. RNAcentral describes it as "sme-miR-92-3p". Its record names the gene sme-miR-92-3p. Lineage: Eukaryota; Metazoa; Platyhelminthes; Tricladida; Dugesiidae. The record is from miRBase by way of RNAcentral.
GAUUGCACUAGUUAAUUAUC